This 429-nucleotide ribosomal RNA is filed under the name Bacteroidota bacterium. RNAcentral's name for it is "Bacteroidetes bacterium partial 16S ribosomal RNA". It matches the Rfam family "Bacterial small subunit ribosomal RNA", at positions 355 to 776 of the family's 1533-position model. The record is from RNAcentral. Lineage: Bacteria; Pseudomonadati; Bacteroidota.
UAGGGAAUCUUCGGCAAUGGGGGGAACCCUGACCGAGCAACGCCGCGUGAGUGAAGAAGGUUUUCGGAUCGUAAAGCUCUGUUGUUAAGGAAGAACGAGUGUGAGAAUGGAAAGUUCAUGCUGUGACGGUACUUAACCAGAAAGGGACGGCUAACUACGUGCCAGCAGCCGCGGUAAUACGUAGGUCCCGAGCGUUGUCCGGAUUUAUUGGGCGUAAAGCGAGCGCAGGCGGUUAGAAAAGUCUGAAGUGAAAGGCGGUGGCUCAACCAUUGUAGGCUUUGGAAGCUGUUUAACUUGAGUGCAGAAGGGGAGAGUGGAAUUCCAUGUGUAGCGGUAAAAUGCGUAGAUAUAUGGAGGAACACCGGUGGCGGAAGCGGCUCUCGGGUCUGUAACUGACGCUGAGGCUCGAAAGCGUGGGGAGCGAACAGG